AAUCUCUCUUCCUUUUUACAAAAACUUCUUGUUGUAUUUAUAAGCUGUGGUUUUCUGUUGACUCUUUUUGUCUUACUCUGUACAAGUCAUUUCCAAUACUUUAAAGGUAGUAACAGUAAUAAUACUAUUUCCAAAGUUCCUGCGGUACCUAAGAAACCCACCCGGGAUGCUGCUCCCCCUGUUCCUGCAGUGAAGGAGUACGAAUAUGAGUAUGAGGAGUAUGAGAAGUAUGAGACCUAUGAGGCUAUAGAAGAGUUUGAGGUUCCAGAACAUGAAGAGAUUGAGUAUGAGGAGAUUCUGGAACCUGAAGAGAUCUAUGAGGAGGUUCCAGAGCCUGAAGAGAUCUAUGAGGAGGUUCCAGAGCCUGAAGAGAUCUAUGAGGAGGUUCCGGAGCCUGAAGAGAUUGAGGAGUAUGAGGAGGUUCCAGAGCCUGAAGAGGUCUAUGAGAAAUAUGAGGAGGUUCAGGUGAUUGAAGAAGUCUAUGAGAAGCAUGAGGAGGUUAAGAAGGCUGAAGAGGCUUAUGAGGUCACACUGGCUAUAGUGCCUGAAGUGCCUAAGAGACCUGUGCCAGAAGAAAAAGUACCUGUUGCUGUUCCUAAAAAAGAAGCUCCGCCAGCUAAAGUUCCUGCACUGCGUAAGAAACCAGUCCCAGAAGAAAAAGUACCUGUCGCUGUUCCUAAAAAAGAAGUGGCUCCCCCAGCUAAAGUGCCUGAAGUACAUAAGAGAGCUGUACAGGAAGAGAAAGUAACUUUGGCUGUUCCUAAAAGGAAGGAGCCUCCACCAGUUAAAGGUACAUGA
Molecule: long non-coding RNA, 798 nt
Filed under: Chrysemys picta bellii (western painted turtle)
Lineage: Eukaryota; Metazoa; Chordata; Testudines; Emydidae
Description: lncRNA (ENSCPBG00000002455.1)
Source: RNAcentral